This 66-nucleotide transfer RNA is filed under the name Dichelops melacanthus. RNAcentral's name for it is "tRNA-Gly". The record is from RNAcentral. Lineage: Eukaryota; Metazoa; Arthropoda; Insecta; Hemiptera; Pentatomidae.
UAUCCUUUUAGUAUAAAAAAUAUAUUUGACUUCCAAUCAAAAGAUCUUUUAAUAAAGAGAGGAUAA